AUGGCUCAAUGAUAGAGUGCUUGCCUAGCAUGCAUGAGGUCAUGGGUUCUACUCCCACU
Molecule: transfer RNA, 59 nt
Filed under: Neotoma lepida (desert woodrat)
Lineage: Eukaryota; Metazoa; Chordata; Mammalia; Rodentia; Cricetidae
Rfam family: tRNA
About the family: Transfer RNA (tRNA) molecules are approximately 80 nucleotides in length. Their secondary structure includes four short double-helical elements and three loops (D, anti-codon, and T loops).
Source: Rfam by way of RNAcentral